CCUACGGGUGGCAGCAGUGGGGAAUAUUGGGCAAUGGGCGCAAGCCUGACCCGGCCACGCCGCGUGAAGGAAGAAGGCUUUCGGGUUGUAAACUUCUUUUCUGAGGGACGAAGAAAGUGACGGUACCUCAGGAAUAAGCCACGGCUAACUCCGUGCCAGCAGCCGCGGUAAUACGUAGGUGGCAAGCGUUAUCCGGAUUUAUUGGGUGUAAAGGACGUGUAGGGGGGAAAGCAAGUCAGAUGUGAAAACUCAGGGCUCAACCCUGAGCCUGCAUUUGAAACUGUUUUUCUUGAGUGCUGGAGAGGCAAUCGGAAUUCCGUGUGUAGCGGUGAAAUGCGUAGAUAUACGGAGGAACACCAGUGGCGAAGGCGGAUUGUUGGACAGUAACUGACGCUGAGGCGCGAAAGCGUGGGGAGCAAACAGGAUUAGAUACCCGGGUAGUC
RNAcentral lists this ribosomal RNA (443 nucleotides) under uncultured bacterium. Its description in RNAcentral is "partial 16S ribosomal RNA". It matches the Rfam family "Bacterial small subunit ribosomal RNA", at positions 338 to 795 of the family's 1533-position model. The record is from RNAcentral.